GUUGCCAGAUGGGUAGUGAUGUGUCCACUGUCUUGUAUCAUAUCACAUUCAUUUGGUGGGCU
RNAcentral lists this microRNA precursor (62 nucleotides) under Melibe leonina. Its description in RNAcentral is "microRNA mle-mir-2e precursor". Its record names the gene mle-mir-2e. Lineage: Eukaryota; Metazoa; Mollusca; Gastropoda; Nudibranchia; Dendronotidae. The record is from miRBase by way of RNAcentral.